This 301-nucleotide ribosomal RNA is filed under the name uncultured bacterium. RNAcentral describes it as "partial 16S ribosomal RNA". It matches the Rfam family "Bacterial small subunit ribosomal RNA", at positions 509 to 809 of the family's 1533-position model. The record is from RNAcentral.
CAGUAGCCGCGGUAAAACGUAGGGGGCAAGCGUUAUCCGGAAUAGCUGGCGUAAAGGGUGCGCAGGUGGUUUAACAAGUUAGUGGUGAAAGGCAUAGGCUCAACCAAUGUAAGCCAUUAAAACUGUAUAACUUGAGUGCAGGAGAGGAAAGUGGAAUUCCUAGUGUAGCGGUGAAAUGCGUAGAUAUUAGGAGGAAUACCAGUGGCGAAGGCGACUUUCUGGACUGCAACUGACACUGAGGCACGAAAGCGUGGGGAGCAAACAGGAUUAGAUACCCAAGUAGUCCCUGUCUCUUAUACAC